Molecule: ribosomal RNA, 492 nt
Filed under: uncultured bacterium
Lineage: Bacteria
Description: partial 16S ribosomal RNA
Rfam family: Bacterial small subunit ribosomal RNA
Source: RNAcentral
AGUGAACGCUGGCGGUAGGCCUAACACAUGCAAGUCGAACGGCAGCACAGUAAGAGCUUGCUCUUACGGGUGGCGAGUGGCGGACGGGUGAGGAAUACAUCGGAAUCUACUUUUUCGUGGGGGAUAACGUAGGGAAACUUACGCUAAUACCGCAUACGACCUACGGGUGAAAGCAGGGGAUCUUCGGACCUUGCGCGAUUGAAUGAGCCGAUGUCGGAUUAGCUAGUUGGCGGGGUAAAGGCCCACCAAGGCGACGAUCCGUAGCUGGUCUGAGAGGAUGAUCAGCCACACUGGAACUGAGACACGGUCCAGACUCCUACGGGAGGCAGCAGUGGGGAAUAUUGGACAAUGGGCGCAAGCCUGAUCCAGCCAUACCGCGUGGGUGAAGAAGGCCUUUGGGUUGUAAAGCCCUUUUGUUGGGAAAGAAAAGCAGCAGGUUAAUACCCCGCUGUUCCGACGGUACCCAAAGAAUAAGCACCGGCUAACUUCGUG